Deltaproteobacteria bacterium RBG_19FT_COMBO_46_12 is the source of this 83-nucleotide non-coding RNA. The record is from Rfam. Lineage: Bacteria; Deltaproteobacteria.
GCCGAAGUGGUGGAAUUGGUAGACACGCCAUCUUGAGGGGGUGGUGGGUAAUCCCCGUGGGGGUUCAAAUCCCCCCUUCGGCA